AUACUUACCUGGCAGGGGAGACACCAUGGUCAAGAAGGCGGUUCACCCAGGGCGAGGCUUGCCCAUUGCACUCAGGCCAUGCUGACCCCUGCGAAUUCCCCAAAUGCGGGAAUCUCGACUGCAUAAUUUAUGGUAGUGGGGGACUGUAGCUGUCUCUAU
This 159-nucleotide small nuclear RNA is filed under the name Carassius auratus (goldfish). RNAcentral's name for it is "U1 spliceosomal RNA (ENSCARG00000039409.1)". It matches the Rfam family "U1 spliceosomal RNA". From Rfam's summary of the family: U1 is a small nuclear RNA (snRNA) component of the spliceosome (involved in pre-mRNA splicing). Its 5' end forms complementary base pairs with the 5' splice junction, thus defining the 5' donor site of an intron. The record is from Rfam by way of RNAcentral. Lineage: Eukaryota; Metazoa; Chordata; Actinopteri; Cypriniformes; Cyprinidae.